Molecule: long non-coding RNA, 778 nt
Organism: Phoenix dactylifera (date palm)
Lineage: Eukaryota; Viridiplantae; Streptophyta; Magnoliopsida; Arecales; Arecaceae
Source: RefSeq, a predicted model, not a curated record
UCUCCUUCUCUGUUCUUUCUUUUUCUUCUCCUCCUCUUCUCUUCUCCCUUAUUCUUCUUCUCUUCUUUUCAUCUCCUUCCCGAAGCUUUCCCUUCCCCAUCUUCUCCCGCAAUCAAGGGAGGGCGAUGGAGUUCUCGGGAGGGGCCGACCUCAAGGCCGGCGGCACUGCAGUCAAAGAUCCACCGCUAAGGCGUAAUUUAUGAAGGGAGAGAGAGGUUAAGGGUCUACCUAGCUCCGAGGAGGAGCCGAGAAGCCUCUUCUGGUAGUUCGGUUGCUCCUCCGGCUGCUCGAGACCUCCUACUCCAAUGGCGUCGCUCCCGGUCCAGUUCCUUUGCACCGAAGGAGGAGAGAGCGAUGGAGUCCCUAUGUAAGUGAUCUGUGGGCUUUUUAUAGCCCUCUUCGAGAAGAAGGAAGAAAUGGAAACGUGGUGGUGAUCGUGGCUCGCUCACCGCCGCAAUGCUGGUGGCGGUUGUGCGAGAUCCGCGGCGUCUCCACUCUCAUAACGCCUCCGUUACCCCGAGGAAGAAUACUAGUGUAUCGUGAUCGAGAUCCCCUGUCUCGGUCUCAUUUCGACCAUGGGCUAAAGCCGGUGGGGCUUGCCGGCUUCGGCCCAAUCUACCCAAAAUCCAAUCAGUCCAUUUUGGGCGGGAUAUUAUAAUAUUAUGCUUUGACAAAGAAAAUCCCACUGAUAAAUACUCCUUUAAAUCUCUUCUGUAUAGUUCAUUAUGUAGCUAUGAAAUGUUACAUGUGCAAUGUGCCGUCAAAUGCUUUCAUUUCA